CCAGAGGAAACUCUGGUG
Molecule: non-coding RNA, 18 nt
Filed under: Arabidopsis thaliana (thale cress)
Lineage: Eukaryota; Viridiplantae; Streptophyta; Magnoliopsida; Brassicales; Brassicaceae
Also listed under: 2 other names
Source: RNAcentral